RNAcentral lists this ribosomal RNA (789 nucleotides) under Triticum aestivum (bread wheat). RNAcentral describes it as "partial small subunit ribosomal RNA". Lineage: Eukaryota; Viridiplantae; Streptophyta; Magnoliopsida; Poales; Poaceae. The record is from RNAcentral.
AUGGAUGAGGUCACAAGGGGUAUACAAGGAGAUAUCCCAUGGUGUAUGCUCUUUGCGGAUGAUGUGGUGCUAGUUGACGAUAGUCGGACGGGGGUAAAUAGGAAGUUAGAGUUAUGGAGACAAACCUUGGAAUCGAAAGGGUUUAGGCUUAGUAGAACUAAAACCGAGUACAUGAUGUGCGGUUUCAGUACUACUAGCUGUGAGGAGGAGGAGGUUAGCCUUGAUGGCCAGGUGGUACCUCGGCAGGACACCUUUCGGUAUUUGGGGUCAAUGUUGCAGGAGGAUGGGGGUAUUGAUGAAGAUGUGAACCAUCGAAUCAAAGCCGGAUGGAUGAAGUGGCGCCAAGCUUCUGGCAUUCUCUGUGACAAGAGAGUGCCACAAAAGCUAAAAGGCAAGUUCUACAGGACGGCGGUUCGACCCGCAAUGUUGUAUGGCGCGGAGUGUUGGCCGACUAAAAGGCGACAUGUUCAACAGUUAGGUGUGGCGGAGAUGCGUAUGUUGAGAUGGAUGUGUGGCCACACGAGGAAGGAUCGAGUCCGGAAUGAUAAUAUACGAGAUAGAGUUGGGGUAGCACCAAUUGAGGAGAAGCUUGUCCAACAUCGUUUGAGAUGGUUUGGACAUAUUCAGCGCAGGCCUCCAGAAGCUCCAGUGCAUAGCGGACGGCUAAAGCGUGCGGAGAAUGUCAAGAGAGGGCGGGGUCGACCGAUUUUGACAUGGGAGGAGUCCGUUAAGAGAGACCUGAAGGAUUGGAGUAUCGACAAAGAGCUAGCUAUGGACAGGGGUGCGUGA